RNAcentral lists this ribosomal RNA (420 nucleotides) under uncultured bacterium. RNAcentral's name for it is "bacterial SSU rRNA". It matches the Rfam family "Bacterial small subunit ribosomal RNA", at positions 359 to 776 of the family's 1533-position model. The record is from RNAcentral.
GAAUUUUGCGCAAUGGGCGAAAGCCUGACGCAGCAACGCCGCGUGGAGGAUGAAGGCCUUCGGGUCGUAAACUCCUGUCAGGGGGGACGAAACGUUCCGCGCAAGCGGGACGCUGACUGUACCCCCGGAGGAAGCCACGGCUAACCCCUUGCCAGCAGCCGCGGUAAUACGGAGGUGGCUAGCGUUGUUCGGAAUUACUGGGCGUAAAGGGCGCGUAGGCGGCUAGGCAAGUCAGAUGUGAAAGCCCCGGGCUUAACUUGGGAAUUGCAUCUGAAACUGCCUUGCUUGAGUCCUGGAGGGGGUAGUGGAAUUCCCAGUGUAGCGGUGAAAUGCGUAGAUAUUGGGAGGAACACCGGUGGCGAAGGCGGCUACCUGGACAGUGACUGACGCUGAGGCGCGAAAGCUAGGGGAGCGAACGGG